RNAcentral lists this ribosomal RNA (298 nucleotides) under uncultured Ehrlichia sp. RNAcentral's name for it is "partial 16S ribosomal RNA". It matches the Rfam family "Bacterial small subunit ribosomal RNA", at positions 873 to 1168 of the family's 1533-position model. The record is from RNAcentral. Lineage: Bacteria; Pseudomonadati; Pseudomonadota; Alphaproteobacteria; Rickettsiales; Anaplasmataceae.
CUGGGGACUAGGUCGCAAGACUAAAACUCAAAGGAAUUGACGGGGACCCGCACAAGCGGUGGAGCAUGUGGUUUAAUUCGAUGCUACGCGAAAAACCUUACCACUUUUUGACAUGAAGGUCGUAUCCCUCCUAACAGGGGGAGUCAGUUCGGCUGGACCUUACACAGGUGCUGCAUGGUUGUCGUCAGCUCGUGUCGUGAGAUGUUGGGUUAAGUCCCGCAACGAGCGCAACCCUCAUUCUUAGUUACCAACAGGUAAUGCUGGGCACUCUAAGGAAACUGCCAGUGAUAAACUGGAG